AAUAACAUUAAUGUUGGGGUUCUUUUCUUGUGAAUUGGACUCUGCUUGUGUGAAUCUUGUGAGUUGCAUGGAGAGGGUGCUUUAUGUGUCUGAUCCGGCAAUGUGAGUCUAGCUUUGGUGUUUGUAUUGUGAUGGCACAUUAUGUGUUAUUACGUACUGCACCAGUUAUCCUCUCUAAUUUAAACACUAUCAAAAUACCAACUACAACUAUAUAACGAGGCAUAAUACCCUCAUCAAUAUUUUA
Molecule: unclassified non-coding RNA, 244 nt
Filed under: uncultured Mucoromycotina
Lineage: Eukaryota; Fungi
Description: sequence contains ITS1
Source: RNAcentral